UACGAAGGGGGCUAGCGUUGCUCGGAAUCACUGGGCGUAAAGGGUGCGUAGGCGGGUCUUUAAGGCAGAGGUGAAAGCCCAGGGCUCAACCCUGGAAUAGCCUUUGAUACUGGCUGUCUUGAGUGCGGGAGAGGUGUGUGGAACUCCGAGUGUAGAGGUGAAAUUCGUAGAUAUUCGGAAGAACACCAGUGGCGAAGGCGACACACUGGCCCGUAACUGACGCUGAGGCGCGAAAGCGUGGGGAGCAAACAGG
Molecule: ribosomal RNA, 253 nt
Filed under: uncultured bacterium
Lineage: Bacteria
Description: partial 16S ribosomal RNA
Rfam family: Bacterial small subunit ribosomal RNA
Source: RNAcentral